Syzygium oleosum is the source of this 883-nucleotide long non-coding RNA. RefSeq lists it as uncharacterized. The record is from RefSeq and is a predicted model, not a curated record. The transcript has 6 exons. NCBI's taxonomy places the organism in Eukaryota, Viridiplantae, Streptophyta, Magnoliopsida, Myrtales, Myrtaceae.
ACGACAGGCAAUGCAAGUAAAGAAGAAAGGCAGACAGGCAACGCAACAAAGAGAUAGAAUCUACAGUAGAGAACAUUAGUGAUUUGGAGGAUGGUCAAAGCCAUCGUGUGGGGAAGUCGCUUUUACACUCAGUGAAGUGGGAGCGCAUUAUUUUGGAUGAGGCUCACUUUGUCAAAGAUAGGCAAUGUAAUACUGCAAAAGCAGUUCUCGGACUAGAGUCUUCAUACAGAUGGGCUUUAAGUGGAACACCUCUUCAAAAUCGUGUUGGGGAGCUCUAUUCUCUUUUCCUCAAAACAAUGUUCUGAAUGCUCUCACAGUUCUGUAUGGCACUUUUGUUGGUGGAAUCGAUAUAUAGCGAAUCCUAUACAAGCACAUGGAAAUGCCGUUGGCAGAAGGCGAGCAAUGAUAUUACUAAAACACAAUUUUGAAAAACAUUUUGCUGAGACGCACAAAAAAGGGAAGAGCUGCUGAUCUUGCACUUCCACCUAGAAUUGUUACUUUGAGGCGGGAUACAUUGGACAUUAGAGAAGAGGAUUAUUACACAUCAUUGUACAAUGAGAGCCAAUCUAACCUUGUGCGGUGUGCAUAUUGAUUGGUAGGUAUUUCACUUUCUUCUCUGGGCUUGUGGGACUUUGAGUAUCGCAUUGUAUGUCAACAAGUGAAUGUCACUUCUUUGGAGAAAGUGAUGAAGCACUUCAUGCAAACCUUAUAGGAGAAAGCAGAGUGGGCGCAAGAUUGGAAGUAUCUUUUCAUACAUAUCGGGGAUAAGCUUUGCUUCAGCAUCUUCAGUGCUAGAAGUGCAGUUGGCCCAAUAUGUUCCUGCCCUGGAAAGAAUUGCCAUCCUGAGGUUGCUUAAGCAAGUGCUUUAAAGUGCUCAAGAUUA